AUGGGCUUAACAUAGCAAUUCUUUUCCCAAUAUAAUGGACUGUAUGAAACAUUCGAGGCCAGAAGAAGAUUAAUAGUGUUGAUGUGUAUGAUGAAGAUCCUCUCUCACUUGUCCCAAAAAAUGGAUUAAGAAAACGACCCAACAAUCAUCAUGAAAAGCAGCAUCAAAAUGGUAGAGUGGGUGUUCUUGUUGAUUUUAUAUACAGGC
This 207-nucleotide long non-coding RNA is filed under the name Gossypium barbadense (sea-island cotton). RNAcentral describes it as "long non-coding RNA (GBAR_LNC019431)". The record is from RNAcentral. Lineage: Eukaryota; Viridiplantae; Streptophyta; Magnoliopsida; Malvales; Malvaceae.